CAGCCGCCGCGGUAAUACGAAGGGGGCUAGCGUUGCUCGGAAUGACUGGGCGUAAAGGGCGCGUAGGCGGAUGGCACAGUCAGAUGUGAAAUUCCCGGGCUUAACCUGGGGGCUGCAUUUGAUACGUGUUGUCUAGAGUGAGGAAGAGGGUCGUGGAAUUCCCAGUGUAGAGGUGAAAUUCGUAGAUAUUGGGAAGAACACCGGUGGCGAAGGCGGCGACCUGGUCCUUUACUGACGCUGAGGCGCGAAAGCGUGAGGAGCAAACAGGAUUAGAUACCCCCGUAGUCCCUGUCUCUUAUAC
Molecule: ribosomal RNA, 301 nt
Filed under: uncultured bacterium
Lineage: Bacteria
Description: partial 16S ribosomal RNA
Rfam family: Bacterial small subunit ribosomal RNA
Source: RNAcentral